Molecule: long non-coding RNA, 1184 nt
Filed under: Marmota monax (woodchuck)
Lineage: Eukaryota; Metazoa; Chordata; Mammalia; Rodentia; Sciuridae
Source: RNAcentral
CAUAUCUUACAUACAUUGGAGUAUAACUUCCCAUUCUUGUGGUUGUACAUGAUGUGGAGUUAUAAUGGUCAUAUUUGUUUAUGAAUAUAGGAAAUUUAUGUCCAAUUCAUUUUACUGUCUUUUCCAUUCCCACCCCUCUUCCCCCAUUCCCUGCUGUCCAUUUGGUGAACCUCCAAUCCUCCCUAUUGUGAGUCAGCAUUCACAUUAUCAGAGAGAACCAUUCAGCCUUUAGUUUUGGGGGAUUGGUUUAUUUCACAUAGCAUGAUAGUCUCUAGUUCCAACCAUUUACUGGCAAAUGCCAUAAUUUCAUACUUUUUUAUGGCUGAGUAAUAUUCCAUUUUGUAUAUGUACCAUAUUUUCUUUAUUCAUUCAUCUGUUGAAGGGCACCUAGGUUGAGUUCAUAGCUGCUGUGUCACUAUAGUAUGCUGAUUUUAAUUGGAGUGGGAUAACUGGGUCAAAUUGUCAAAGGAAAUGAACAGAUAUUGCACAGAAGAAGAAAUAUGAGUGGUCAACAAAUAUGUGAAAAAAAAAAGUUCAACAUCACUAGCAAUUAGAAAAAUACAAAUUAAUAAAACACUGAGAUUUCAUCUCACUCCAAUCAGAAUGGCAAUUAUCAAGAAUACAAGUAACAAUGUUGGCAAAGAUGCGGGGUGAGGGGAAAGGCACAUUCAUAAUUUGCUGGUGGGACUGCAAAUUGAUGCAACUACUCUGGAAAGCCGUACAGAGAUUCCUCAGAAAACUUGGAAUGGAACCACCAUUUGACCCAAAUUAUGUCAUUAUGGUUGAAUUUGAGCAUAGUUUUCUAAAGAAAAUGAAAACCUAUGUUGGCAAGGAGACUGAGAGCAGUUCUAUAGGCAGGAACCUCUUUCAAGUAAGUGCAUGGUUUCAAAGAUGUUUGUUUUCACUCCUUUUCAGGGAAAAUAACUAGAAUUGACAAGACUCUUAACUUGAUAUUCUCAAGUUCUUAGUUGGAAGGUGUAAAUCUGAAAGCUGAAUAAUAAUGGACUGUUACAAAAACAACAACAAGGAAAUAUCCUGUUAAAAGCACAAAGGAAAACAAAACAGACUGAAAUCAGCCAUUUGAUAGGUUUUGUCAUUGAAACUCAGAUUGUAGUCUUCUGUCAUUCUUUUCCAUCCUCCUUGGUACAUCGACUUGGUCCUCAUGGGUCCCUGUCUCAGUCGCC